AUGGAAUAUCAGCCGAUCGUCUCUGCGCUGGACGUCCGCACCGAGCCGAUCACCAUCGACAUCCUCUUCUCCAUGGUGGCGAACUUUGACCAGCGGGUCGAGAUGUUCCACGGCAACGGCGGCGGCGCCUUCAAGUUGUCGGCAAACAUUGCUUCUCGCGGUCGCGGCAACAAGGGCAACUACCGCAACCAGAAGGGCAACGGUGGUGGCUCCCGUGGCGGCAACUAUGGUGGCACCAGCCACGGCAAUGGAGGCAGCGGCUACAAUGGUGGUGGCGGCUACAACGGUGGUGGCAACUACCACCUGAACAACAACCAAGGCGGCGGCGGGGGCUAUCACGGUGGUGGUGGCGGCUAUCAUGGUGGUGGUGGCGGCUACCAUCACCAGGGUCCCCCAAACAGCGCCAACAACGCGCGGCGCCCCCCCCCAACAACAAAAAUAGGGGGCGCAACUUCCAAGGCUAUGAUGGCUACGAGGGUAAAUGUCAAAUUUGUAAGAAAACAAAUCAUAUAG
This 513-nucleotide ribosomal RNA is filed under the name Triticum aestivum (bread wheat). RNAcentral describes it as "partial small subunit ribosomal RNA". The record is from RNAcentral. Lineage: Eukaryota; Viridiplantae; Streptophyta; Magnoliopsida; Poales; Poaceae.